AUACGGAGGGUGCAAGCGUUGUCCGGAUUUAUUGGGUUUAAAGGGUGCGUAGGUGGGACAGUAAGUCUGAUUUGAAAGCAAGCGGCUUAACCGUUUGAUGUGGUUGGAAACUGCGGUUCUUGAAUGGGUUGGCGGUAGCCGGAAUGGGUCAUGUAGCGGUGAAAUGCAUAGAUAUGACCCGGAACACCGAUUGCGAAGGCAGGCUACUACGACUUAAUUGACACUGAGGCACGAGAGCAUGGGUAGCGAACAGGAUUAGAUACCCUGGUAGUCCAUGCCGUAAACGAUGAUUACUGGCUGUUUGCGUUCUAACGUGAGUGGCUGAGCGAAAGCGUUAAGUAAUCCACCUGGGGAGUACGCUGGCAACAGUGAA
This 373-nucleotide ribosomal RNA is filed under the name uncultured bacterium. RNAcentral describes it as "bacterial SSU rRNA". It matches the Rfam family "Bacterial small subunit ribosomal RNA", at positions 523 to 898 of the family's 1533-position model. The record is from RNAcentral.